RNAcentral lists this ribosomal RNA (1604 nucleotides) under uncultured bacterium. RNAcentral describes it as "bacterial SSU rRNA". It matches the Rfam family "Bacterial small subunit ribosomal RNA". The record is from RNAcentral.
AGAGUUUGAUCAUGGCUCAGAACGAACGCUGGCGGCAUGCUUAACACAUGCAAGUCGAAUGCUUCUAUGAGCUGACAGCUUUAAUCGAGCGUCUGAAUGGCGUUGGAUUAAAGUUGUCGGUGGUGCGCUGUUGGCUAAUGGCGCGCGAUAUUUGCGAGGAGAUAUAGAUGUUCUAUGGAGGGUCUUUUUUUUGGUCUGAAUAGAGCGUCAUGUCCUCCUCAAAAAGGAGCAUGGCAGACGGGUGAGUAAUGUAUGGGAACGUACCCUUUUGUUCGGAAUAACGUUUGGAAACGAACGAUAAUACCGGAUAAGUCCGAAAGGAGAAAGGUUUACUGCGAGAGGAGCGGCCCAUAUCGGAUUAGGUUGUUGGUGAGGUAAAGGCUCACCAAGCCUGUGAUCUGUAGCUGAUCUGAGAGGAUGAUCAGCCACACUGGGACUGAGACACGGCCCAGACUCCUACGGGAGGCAGCAGUGGGGAAUAUUGGACAAUGGGGGAAACCCUGAUCCAGCGAUGCCGCGUGAGUGAAGAAGGCCUUCGGGUUGUAAAGCUCUUUUAUCCGGGACGAUAAUGACGGUACCGGAAGAAUAAGCUCCGGCUAACUUCGUGCCAGCAGCCGCGGUAAUACGAAGGGAGCUAGCGUUGUUCGGAAUUACUGGGCGUAAAGGGUGCGUAGGUGGUUCUAUAAGUGAGGUGUGAAAGCCCCGGGCUCAACCUGGAAAUGCAUUUCAUACUGUAGGACUUGGUGUGCGAGAGGGGAAAGUGGAAUGGCGAGUGGAGCAGUGAAAUGCGUUGAUAUUCGUUGGAACACCAGAGGCGAAGGCGGCUUUCUGGCUCGUAACAGACAUUAAAGCACGAAAAGCGUGGGGAGCAAACAGGAUUAGAUACCCUGGUAGUCCACGCCCUAAACGAUGAGCGCUCGAUGUUGGAUGUUUUAGGCAUUCAGUAUCUUAGCUAACGCGUUAAGCGCUCCGCCUGGGGAGUACGGUCGCAAGACUAAAACUCAAAGGAAUUGACGGGGAUCCGCACAAGCGGUGGAGUAUGUGGUUUAAUUCGAGGCUACGCGAAGAACCUUACCAACCUUUGAAUGUGCAUUGUACCUUCUUGAAAGAGAGGGGUCAUUUAGUUGGAUGCAACACAGGUGCUGCAUGGCUGUCGUCAGUUCGUGUCGUGAGAUGUUGGGUUAAGUCCCGCAACGAACGCGACCCUCGUUGCUAGUUGCCAGCAAGUAAUGUUGGGCACUUUAGCGAUACUGCCGGUGACAAACCGGAGGAAGGUGGGGAUGAUGUCAAGUCAUCAUGGCCCUUAUAGGUUGGGCUACACACGUACUACAAUGGUCGUGACAGAGGGAAGCAAAGCUGCAAGGCUGAGCGAAUCCCUAAAAGCGACCUCAGUUCGGAUUGUCCUCUGCAACUCGAGGGCAUGAAGUCGGAAUCGCUAGUAAUCGCAGAUCAGCAGGCUGCGGUGAAUACGUUCUCGGAUCUUGUACACACUGCCCGUCACGCCAUGGGAGUUGGUUCGGCCUUAAGGAAGUGUUCUAACCCGCAAGGGAGGAAGCUUACUACGGUCGGGUCGAUGACUGGGGUGAAGUCGUAACAAGGUAACC